UACGUAGGGGGCUAGCGUUGUCCGGAAUCAUUGGGCGUAAAGCGCGCGUAGGCGGCCCGGUAAGUCCGCUGUGAAAGUCAAAGGCUCAACCUUUGAAUGUCAGCGGAUACUGCCAGGCUAGAGUCCGGAAGAGGCGAGUGGAACUCCUGGUGUAGCGGUGGAAUGCGCAGAUAUCAGGAAGAACACCAACGGCGAAGGCAGCUCGCUGGGACGGAACUGACGCUGAGGCGCGAAGGCGUGGGGAGCGAACAGG
RNAcentral lists this ribosomal RNA (253 nucleotides) under uncultured bacterium. RNAcentral's name for it is "partial 16S ribosomal RNA". It matches the Rfam family "Bacterial small subunit ribosomal RNA", at positions 524 to 776 of the family's 1533-position model. The record is from RNAcentral.